Long non-coding RNA from Quercus lobata, 1303 nucleotides. RefSeq lists it as uncharacterized. The record is from RefSeq and is a predicted model, not a curated record. NCBI's taxonomy places the organism in Eukaryota, Viridiplantae, Streptophyta, Magnoliopsida, Fagales, Fagaceae. The transcript is spliced from 2 exons.
CGGGUAACAUUCACAUGGACACUUGCUACACACUUUCUGUUUCUUUCUUGUGUUGUCAAAUCCAACUUUACUUUGAGUCUCCAUCAGCUAGGGCUGAUAUACUACUCAUUGAUCUCUUCAAGCAGUUGGGUUCAAUCGCUGCUCAGUCAACUUGCAUAUAAAAUUUGCAUAUUUCCUGUUGAAUUAUUGAAGUGACUCAGGAAUUUUAUUAACAAAUUAUUAUUAGAGAAUACAUUCUGUCCGGAGCUGGCAGAAAAUGGCUUGUUUACGCCACCAAUCAAAAGCUGCCACAUCAGAUAGUUAAUGAGGAAGCAGUGCACUUUAUAACAUAGGAUUAUAACCCAAACCCAUCUAAAAUUACCAAACGCAUAUUCAGAAGCAGACCUGGAGAAUACCUUACCAAUGCCUAACCAAGCCAUCUCCUCUGACCACCGGAGCUCUACCCUGCCAUUGGAGCCGCCGUGGCGUCAUUAGGAGUCGCCGCCGCGUCGUUUUGAGUCGGCGCCGAUGCACCCAACCUCAAGCUCCUAAUUGGUGGCGUAAACAAGCUAUUUUCUGCCAGCUCCGGACUGAAGGUAUUCUCUUAUUAUUAUAUGUAGAGUUUUCUGUUUUCUAAUUGAUCUUCUUGGCAAUUGAAGUGGAAGGCGAUUGAGACUUUCAUUAUAUGGAAGGCCGGGCCCAUGACACACAACUAUCCUGCACAUGACAGAGUCUUUGCAUUCUUUAGCAAGUCUAUUACAUGCCUUAAAAGCAUUCAACUUUACACUUUGAAUCAGAAGAAAAAGUUGAGGCAUGAGAUUUAUUUGAGCAAGUAAAAUGAAAGAUCAAGAAACUGGCGGAGAAGCAGAAAGACAGCCUCUUGUUUCUCACUAUUUCUUUUUUUUUUGGUUAAUCUCACUAUUUCUUUCACUUUGAUAUUACUUGUUUCCAAAAAGUUCAAUUGCAGCUGACAGCAUAACUGCAACACGGUCCAUGAAUGCUAGCCAAACAUUGGUUUCAUGAGGCCAAAAAUUUGAACUUGGCUUCCUCACUGCUGGAGGUUCUGGUGAUCUAUAUUUAGGAAUAUGGUACAAGAAUAUCCCAAUUAAGACUAUAAUUUGGGUUGCAAAUAGGGACAGCCCUUGUCAGAAUUCAUAACGUGUUAAAAUAGAAAAUCUGAGGGGACGUUUGGUUACGUUCUAGUAAUAUUUUUGUAUUUUUUAGAAAUAUGUGUGAGUGAAAAAAAAAUGUAUAAAAAUACAUGUAAUAUUGUUUAAAAAUGAAAAAAAAAAUGUUUAAACUCCCUAUAAGUCAUAUAAAUGGC